GAUGAAGAACGCAGCGAAAUGCGAUAAGUAAUGUGAAUUGCAGAAUUCAGUGAAUCAUCGAAUCUUUGAACGCACAUUGCGCCCGCCAGUAUUCUGGCGGGCAUGCCUGUUCGAGCGUCAUUUCAACCAUCAAGCCCCCGGCUUGUGUUGGGGACCUGCGGCUGCCGCAGGCCCUGAAAACCAGUGGCGGGCUCGCUAGUCACUCCGAGCGUAGUAAUACAUCUCGCUCAGGGCGUGCUGCGGGUUCCGGCCGUUAAAAGCCUUAUUUACCCAAGGUUGACCUCGGAUCAGGUAGGAAGACCCGCUGAACUUAAGCAUAUCAAUAGCGGAGGA
This 333-nucleotide unclassified non-coding RNA is filed under the name soil metagenome. RNAcentral's name for it is "partial contains 5.8S ribosomal RNA, internal transcribed spacer 2, and large subunit ribosomal RNA". The stretch from base 1 to 120 matches the Rfam family "5.8S ribosomal RNA", at positions 35 to 154 of the family's 154-position model. The record is from RNAcentral.